RNAcentral lists this ribosomal RNA (253 nucleotides) under uncultured bacterium. RNAcentral's name for it is "partial 16S ribosomal RNA". It matches the Rfam family "Bacterial small subunit ribosomal RNA", at positions 524 to 776 of the family's 1533-position model. The record is from RNAcentral.
UACGAAGGGGGCUAGCGUUGCUCGGAAUCACUGGGCGUGAAGGGUGCGUAGGCGGGUCUUUAAGUCAGGGGUGAAAUCCUGGAGCUCAACUCCAGAACUGCCUUUGAUACUGAGGAUCUUGAGUUCGGGAGAGGUGAGUGGAACUGCGAGUGUAGAGGUGAAAUUCGUAGAUAUUCGCAAGAACACCAGUGGCGAAGGCGGCUCACUGGCCCGAUACUGACGCUGAGGCACGAAAGCGUGGGGAGCAAACAGG